This 125-nucleotide small RNA is filed under the name Marmota monax (woodchuck). Lineage: Eukaryota; Metazoa; Chordata; Mammalia; Rodentia; Sciuridae. The record is from RNAcentral.
GCUGGGCAUGGUGGCUCAUGCCUGUAAUCCCAGAGGCUGGGGAGGCUGAGGCAGGAGGAUUGCAAGUUCAAAGCCAGCCUCAGCAAAAGCAAGGUGCUAAGCAACUCAGUGAGACCUUGUCUCUA